RNAcentral lists this ribosomal RNA (520 nucleotides) under uncultured Glomeraceae. Its description in RNAcentral is "SSU rRNA". It matches the Rfam family "Eukaryotic small subunit ribosomal RNA", at positions 569 to 1094 of the family's 1831-position model. Lineage: Eukaryota; Fungi; Glomeromycota; Glomeromycetes; Glomerales; Glomeraceae. The record is from RNAcentral.
AGCAGCCGCGGUAAUUCCAGCUCCAAUAGCGUAUAUUAAAGUUGUUGCAGUUAAAAAGCUCGUAGUUGAAUUUCGGGGUUAGUAGGUUGGUCAUGCCUCUGGUAUGUACUGGUCUCACUGAUUCCUCCUUCUUUAUGAACCGUAAUGCCAUUAAUUUGGUGUUGCGGGGAAUUUGGACUGUUACUUUGAAAAAAUUGAGUGUUCAAAGCAGGCUCACGCUUGAAUACAUUAGCAUGGAAUAACGAAAUAGGACGUUUGAUUUUAUUUUGUUGGUUUCUAGGAUCGACGUAAUGAUUAAUAGGGAUAGUUGGGGGCAUUAGUAUUCAAUUGUCAGAGGUGAAAUUCUUGGAUUUAUUGAAGCUAACUACUGCGAAAGCAUUUGCCAAGGAUGUUUUCAUUAAUCAAGAACGAAAGUUAGGGAUCGAAGACGAUCAGAUACCGUCGUAGUCUUAACCAUAAACUAUGCCGACUAGGGAUCGGAUGAUGUUAAUUUUUUAUGACUCAUUCGGCGCCUUACGGG